UAAAAGCCUAAAAGGACGUAUAGUAUUACCAUUAUCAUUCUCUUCAUAACUGAUGUAUGCAUUGGGCAGUGUUAGUAUGGCAACAAGUUUGCUUUUAUCAAUAUUAAAGCGAUAUAUCUGAAGUACUGAUCAUGAUUUUUACUAUAGGUAGUUGAAAGGGCUCGUUAUAGCUCCUUGUAUCAUCCAUUAGGACAGUACUUAUUUUCAUUGGUUUGCAUCUAUCAAUCUUCCCUCUUGACAGCCUUUAUCCCUGUUUAUAUAAGGUCACUUUUCUUCCAUUUUAUUUUGAUAUUUUUAAGGUUGUGGUUUUCUGACGUCACGCACCGCCUCUGGGGUUCGAAUCGUCUCGCCCCGGCUCCGAAUAUUCAAGACCGACGCUCUCUGACCCGCAAGACCGCCGCUUCAAACAGGAUUAAGGUAUGACAGAGGGGAUGACUGAAGAGGAUGUGUGGAAUGAAGAAACUAGUUCAGAAGAAUAUUUACCGAGAGGAUCCAAAGAAGAGCACAAAGGAGCCAACACAACCUUCCUCCAGCUGCCUUUAGGUACUGGAGGAGGGGGACACAGUGACCCAUCCUGGUGAUUGGCUACACAACCUUCCUCCAGCUGCCUUUAGGUACUGGGGGAGGGGGGACACAGUGACCCAUCCUGGUGAUUGGCUGUGUAGCUGGUUAUCUAAAAGGGCAAGUGAAAGAGUUCAGACACUCCCAACUAUGGUUUUAAAUUUUUUUUUUUUUUCUUGCUCUUAAUGUACUUGUUUCUUUGUAUAUGAUUAUACUGUAUAGUGAUAUAAUUUGGUAACAUGAUUGGGUAUAAUUUCUGUAACACACACUGCUGAAAGUACACUUCCUUUCAUUCAACACCUCCAGUCGUAGAGGACACUAAACUCACCUUCACGCUUCUGUUUUGCUUCCUCCCCUUGUUGUAGCCUGUCCAUAGAAUUCGAGGUCUGCUCACUUUGCCCUGGCAGGCUGAUGAGCUAUGAUGUCUCUCAUCCCUCACCAACUCUGUCCUCUCCCAGAGAGCAUGGUGCAUUCUCACCAGAGAUUAUGAAAUAACCCCAGUGAUGUUCAGAAAAAAUGACAACCAUAAUCACUAAUCUAAUCACAAGACGAAAAAUACACAAACUUUGUGAUUUAGGAAAAAAAUUGUCUUAAGCAUUUUUGUUUUUGUUUUGUCUGUAACUGCACUUCCUUGAUAAUUGAUCACAGAUUUAAAAUUACUAAACUGGGAACAAUACUCAAGAAAUUGCAGGAAGUUUGACCAAAAACGAGAAAAAUCUUGAGGUAUACAAGUUUCUGAGUUAUGAAAAUAAUGAUAAGUCAGUUUUUCUAAACAUCCUGCAGUUAUUUCGUAAUCUUGGAUGAUUGUACAUGUGUGUGGAGGAGGACUGAGCUGCUGAGGGAUGAGUGAUGGCACAGUUCAGCCUGCCAGAGCAGAGUAGACCCAGGUGAAAGUUGAGGCUUUGCUGGGCAGACUGGAAUAAGGGGGAUGCAAGUUUAAAGGAAGAGCAAGCAUGUCUGUCCAUUAGUUAAGAGAAAACAAGUGACCACCCCAAUAAUUACAUCCACUCCUGCAUCCACACCACCUAGUACAGUCAGUUAUUCUGAGGAGGGUAAUACAGUCUGGCCACGAGAUUCCUCUUAACUCUGUACAGCCUCACUUGUUCUCCCUUCAAGCAUCAUCCAUUGUGCCUUGCCAGCCUCCCUAGCAUUGCCCCAAGUCAUCUGUGGUGCUGUUGUGAUCCUGUGUUGAGUGUGUCAACAGGAUUGCAGUUUGCAGCCAGUUCCUCCACCUGGAAAAAGUUAAGAGAAAUUACUAAGAGUCUGCAGAUGAGUCCAUGUACAGCUAAGUACAACAAUCCAAAUAUAUAGAUAAAAAUGG
Eriocheir sinensis (Chinese mitten crab) is the source of this 1882-nucleotide long non-coding RNA. RefSeq lists it as uncharacterized. The transcript has 2 exons. NCBI's taxonomy places the organism in Eukaryota, Metazoa, Arthropoda, Malacostraca, Decapoda, Varunidae. The record is from RefSeq and is a predicted model, not a curated record.